GACCCAGACUCCUACGGGAGGCAGCAGUGAGGAAUAUUGGUCAAUGGGCGCGAGCCUGAACCAGCCAAGUCGCGUGAGGGAGGACGGCCCUACGGGUUGUAAACCUCUUUUGCCGGGGAGCAACGGGCGUCACGUGUGGCGCCACUGAGAGUACCCGGAGAAAAAGCAUCGGCUAACUCCGUGCCAGCAGCCGCGGUAAUACGGAGGAUGCGAGCGUUAUCCGGAUUUAUUGGGUUUAAAGGGUGCGCAGGCGGAAUGUCAAGUCAGCGGUAAAAUUUCGGGGCUCAACCCCGUCGUGCCGUUGAAACUGGCGUUCUUGAGUGAGCGAGAAGUAUGCGGAAUGCGUGGUGUAGCGGUGAAAUGCAUAGAUAUCACGCAGAACUCCGAUUGCGAAGGCAGCAUACCGGCGCUCAACUGACGCUGAUGCACGAAAGCGUGGGUAUCGAACAGGAUUAGAUACCCGGGUAC
RNAcentral lists this ribosomal RNA (468 nucleotides) under uncultured bacterium. RNAcentral's name for it is "bacterial SSU rRNA". It matches the Rfam family "Bacterial small subunit ribosomal RNA", at positions 328 to 793 of the family's 1533-position model. The record is from RNAcentral.